Hippopotamus amphibius kiboko is the source of this 103-nucleotide small nuclear RNA. The record is from RefSeq and is a predicted model, not a curated record. NCBI's taxonomy places the organism in Eukaryota, Metazoa, Chordata, Mammalia, Artiodactyla, Hippopotamidae.
UUGCUUCAGCAGCACAUAUACUAAAAUUGCAACCACACAGAGAAGAUUAGCAUGGCCCCUGCGCAAGGAUGACAUACAAAUUCAUGAAGCAUUCCAUGUUUUU